CAUGGUUCAAAAGUAAAAGACGGUCUUGCUGUCACUUAUAGAUGGAUCCGCGCUGCAUUAGCUAGUUGGUAAGGUAACGGCUUACCAAGGCAACGAUGCAUAGCCGACCUGAGAGGGUGAUCGGCCACACUGGAACUGAGACACGGUCCAGACUCCUACGGGAGGCAGCAGUAGGGAAUCUUCCGCAAUGGGCGAAAGCCUGACGGAGCAACGCCGCGUGAGUGAUGAAGGUCUUCGGAUCGUAAAACUCUGUUAUUAGGGAAGAACAUAUGUGUAAGUAACUGUGCACAUCUUGACGGUACCUAAUCAGAAAGCCACGGCUAACUACGUGCCAGCAGCCGCGGUAAUACGUAGGUGGCAAGCGUUAUCCGGAAUUAUUGGGCGUAAAGCGCGCGUAGGCGGUUUUUUAAGUCUGAUGUGAAAGCCCACGGCUCAACCGUGGAGGGUCAUUGGAAACUGGAAAACUUGAGUGCAGAAGAGGAAAGUGGAAUUCCAUGUGUAGCGGUGAAAUGCGCAGAGAUAUGGAGGAACACCAGUGGCGAAGGCGACUUUCUGGUCUGUAACUGACGCUGAUGUGCGAAAGCGUGGGGAUCAAACAGGAUUAGAUACCCUGGUAGUCCACGCCGUAAACGAUGAGUGCUAAGUGUUAGGGGGUUUCCGCCCCUUAGUGCUGCAGCUAACGCAUUAAGCACUCCGCCUGGGGAGUACGACCGCAAGGUUGAAACUCAAAGGAAUUGACGGGGACCCGCACAAGCGGUGGAGCAUGUGGUUUAAUUCGAAGCAACGCGAAGAACCUUACCAAAUCUUGACAUCCUUUGACAACUCUAGAGAUAGAGCCUUCCCCUUCGGGGGACAAAGUGACAGGUGGUGCAUGGUUGUCGUCAGCUCGUGUCGUGAGAUGUUGGGUUAAGUCCCGCAACGAGCGCAACCCUUAAGCUUAGUUGCCAUCAUUAAGUUGGGCACUCUAAGUUGACUGCCGGUGACAAACCGGAGGAAGGUGGGGAUGACGUCAAAUCAUCAUGCCCCUUAUGAUUUGGGCUACACACGUGCUACAAUGGACAAUACAAAGGGCAGCGAAACCGCGAGGUCAAGCAAAUCCCAUAAAGUUGUUCUCAGUUCGGAUUGUAGUCUGCAACUCGACUACAUGAAGCUGGAAUCGCUAGUAAUCGUAGAUCAGCAUGCUACGGUGAAUACGUUCCCGGGUCUUGUACACACCGCCCGUCACACCACGAGAGUUUGUAACACCCGAAGCCGGUGGAGUAACCUUUUAGGAGCUAGCCGUCGAAGGUGGGACAAAUGAUUGGGGUGAAGUCGUAACAAGGUAGCCGUAUCGGAAGGUGCGGCUGGAUCACCU
RNAcentral lists this ribosomal RNA (1354 nucleotides) under Staphylococcus aureus M0714. RNAcentral describes it as "bacterial SSU rRNA". It matches the Rfam family "Bacterial small subunit ribosomal RNA", at positions 188 to 1528 of the family's 1533-position model. The record is from RNAcentral. Lineage: Bacteria; Bacillati; Bacillota; Bacilli; Caryophanales; Staphylococcaceae.